Molecule: transfer RNA, 72 nt
Filed under: Listeria monocytogenes
Lineage: Bacteria; Bacillati; Bacillota; Bacilli; Caryophanales; Listeriaceae
Description: tRNA-Glu
Rfam family: tRNA
About the family: Transfer RNA (tRNA) molecules are approximately 80 nucleotides in length. Their secondary structure includes four short double-helical elements and three loops (D, anti-codon, and T loops).
Source: RNAcentral
GGCCCGUUGGUCAAGCGGUUAAGACCCCGCCCUUUCACGGCGGUAACACGGGUUCGAAUCCCGUACGGGUCA